Long non-coding RNA from Oncorhynchus masou masou (cherry salmon), 1225 nucleotides. RefSeq lists it as uncharacterized. The transcript has 3 exons. The record is from RefSeq and is a predicted model, not a curated record. NCBI's taxonomy places the organism in Eukaryota, Metazoa, Chordata, Actinopteri, Salmoniformes, Salmonidae.
ACUACACGUUGCAAAGGGUUGGGCUACCAAGUGUUAGCACGAUAGCAAACAUUACAUUAGAAGUUGGAAGCGCCAUGUCAUUGCCAUUCAAAACUCGAAAAGACAAGGAAGAAGCGGUCCACUUGUUGACAACCAUGCUCUCCCGCCCAGACUGGUUACGUUACGUUCAAGCUCAAUAUCAUGUGGGUCCUCCAACCUCCAGCUCACCUCUCUCAUCUCCAGGACAACGGAGGCCAGGCGCUCAUUCUCUGAUUGGUUGCUGGUGAGGGCAGUCCUGGCCAACCGCAGCUCGUUCUGCAGCUCCAGGACCAUCUGCUGGACCUGAGCCCUAGGACCAUGCCCCAGGACUACCUGACAUGAUGACUCCUUGCUGUCCCCAGUCCACCUGGCCGUGCUGCUGCUCCAGUUUCAACUGAACCGCGGCCCUAGGACCAUGCCCCAGGACUACUUGACAUGAUGACUCCUUGCUGUCCCCAGUCCACCUGGCCGUGCUGCUGCUCCAGUUUCAACUGUUCUGCCUUAUUAUUAUUCGACCAUGCUGGUCAUUUAUGAACAUUUGAACAUCUUGGCCAUGUUCUGUUAUAAUCUCUACCCGGCACAGCCAGAAGAGGACUGGCCACCCCACAUAGCCUGGUUCCUCUCUAGGUUUCUUCCUAGGUUUUGGCUUUUCUAGGGAGUUUUUCCUAGCCACCGUGCUUCUACACCUGCAUUGCUUGCUGUUUGGGGUUUUAGGCUGGGUUUCUGUACAGCACUUUGAGAUAUCAGCUGAUGUACGAAGGGCUAUAUAAAUAAAUUUGAUUUGAUUUGAUUUGAUUUGUGUGCAUAUUCAAUUCCCAACAAGGAGGAGCCCACUCAGAACCUGAGAGAUCUGGACGGAGUCAUAAUUACAGAAUGAUUCAUUAGAGCAGGGCUGUCCAAAAGACUGCUACCUGACAGCUGCUUCAUUAGCUGAGCAGAAUCUGUAGUGGCCAACUUGUCUAACCUACAGUACAGUACACAGCAGCAGCAGGGCUGAAUGACUGGGUGGUGAUUCAAGAGACUAGUUGCUGCUUUGCUUUUCUGGCAGCUGCCCAUCUGGGUCAUCUAAUUAGCCACUGCACCCAUAGUGACCCUGGGUCUAAUAUAGCACAUAUCAGUGGCUCUCUUGCCAGCGACCACACAGUACAGUACAGCACAGCACUACCUUCCCUCUCUGUCUGGCCAGCUGACGAUAAUGUUCACAGGA